AUGUCACCAGACGAAGAUCUGCGUCUCCUCUACCUCCGUCUCAUCCCACAACUCGCCGAAAACCGCCCGGAAUUCCAACAGGCAAUCGCCGAUUCUCCACUUUUCACAGCAUACAUGAAGCUGCUCAAACGUCAAGCCGAACUGAGCCCCCGAAUUCUUUCAGCACUGCUCUCGGCGAUUUCCUCCAUCGUUCGGUCUCACUUGCCGGCUUAUUUGAAGUUUCAGGCCAAGAAUGGGCUCACGGCCACUGAGAAGCUUAUUCAGAGCACGAAAGACCAUAAAAAUGCUGUAAAGGCUGGCCGUAUGAUCGUCAGUUUCCUGUAUACACUUACUGG
RNAcentral lists this small RNA (335 nucleotides) under Caenorhabditis elegans. RNAcentral describes it as "Unclassified non-coding RNA Y38E10A.36". The record is from RNAcentral. Lineage: Eukaryota; Metazoa; Nematoda; Chromadorea; Rhabditida; Rhabditidae.